AUGGAAACUGAACAUGUGAGCCAGAUGCUUACCUUAAUCAAACAUUUUUCCCAACAUCAUGGAUGUCAUGUUUGGUUUGUAGCACAUCCCAUACAGCUGCACAAUUGGACUGGGAGUCCUCCUAAUCUUUAUGAUAUUAGUGGAAGUUCACACUUUAUAAAUAAGUGUGACAAUGGAAUUGUCAUCCACCGUAAUCGUGAUCCCGAGGUUGGGCCUAUUGAUAAAGUGAAGGUUUGUGUUCGUAAGAUACGAAAUAAGAUAACUGACGAGUAUAUGGAAGUGGAAAAUGAUACUAAGAAAUAG
This is a non-coding RNA of Vicia faba (fava bean), 303 nucleotides long. The record is from the annotation of a GenBank genome assembly. NCBI's taxonomy places the organism in Eukaryota, Viridiplantae, Streptophyta, Magnoliopsida, Fabales, Fabaceae.